UAAUAUCUCCGUGCCGCGCCGCGUUGCCGACCGACCGAGACCGACCCCUCCUGUCCUGCCCACCCGGUCUGGAUGCAGCCCCAACCCACCACCACCAGCUCCACUUCCCUUUGAUUUCCGCCGCCCGCCGAAGCCGCCUCGGGCAAGGACCCGGCCGGCGACAAGGCCUCUUCCCCGGCGGCCUGCCCGCGGCCAGGCGGGCCCUUUCCUCCCUCCCCACCGCCCUGGCCGUGGCCAGUCUGCUCCUCCUCUCUUCGUCCGGGGCCCCGGGUCGUGGAAGCCUCUCGCCUCGCCUCCUCGCGUCUGGUUUGGAUUCACUCCUCCUCGAUUCGUCGCGCGUUUAGGCUCGUGAUUUGGUUUCUGCUCGUGCUCGAUUCGUCCGUUUGGAAUUGCGCCCGGUUUGAUUUUGCUCGUCCUCGCCGUCGUCCGUUUGGGGUCGCGUCCGGUUCGAUUUUGCUCCUCCUCGCCACCGUCGUCCGUGUAGGGUCGCGUCCGGUUCGAUUCUGCUCGUCCUCAUCGUCGUCCGUUUAGAGUCGUGUCUGGUUCGAUUUUGUUCGUCCUCGCUGUCGUCCGUUUGGGGUCGCGUCCGGUUCGAUUUUGCUCGUCCUCACCGCCGUCGUCCGUGUAGGGUCGCGUCCGAUUCGAUUUCGCUCGUCCUCGCCGUCGUCCGUGUAGAGUCGCGACUGAUUCGAUUUCGCUCAUCCUCGCCGUUGUCCCGACGCGCCCGCGUGUUCUUGGUCCGGUCUCGCCUCGUCGGCGGUCUCCUCCGUCUCGUUUGCGUAGUAGCAAUUCUGUCCGCGCGUGCUUCUGUUAUCCGAACUAGCAGUCCUGGGUUUCGUGUUCACGUCGGUUACAGGAAUGAACAGGUCUGGUUUCGAAAUUGGAUUACGGCCGGACACGGGGAGCAGUGUUUGUUUAUCGUGCUAGUUCAGACUGGUUCGUCCGUUCCGUCACCUACGUUGCUCUUGGUGAUUUUCAGAACUCAAAAUGUGUGCUCUCCUGUGAUACUCUGUCAAUUCUUGGCCCUCUGUCAGUUCUUGUUGGCCCUCUGUCAGUUCUUGAGUUCCAGGGUCUGUUAAUUCUUGAGUUCUCAUUGUACUGGCUAGGCGUGUGCGCUCUCAUCCUAGAUUCAGAGAUGGGGUGAUUCCUUUACGCUUGAUCUGAUGGUGUAUACUGUUUAUGUUCUUUCCAAUUUGUUUCUUUUUAUCAUGCUUAGCUAGUGUGUUCCGAGCAGAAAAGUUUUACAAGAGUGCAAACCAUGUGGCCUGCUGCUGCUACUGUUGGACAAGGUUCCUUCUUUUCUUCCCGAUGUUACUAUUUCCAUUGAAGUACUCAUACGAGUUCUAGGUGAGCUGCUGCUAAUUAGUUCCCCUUAGAUUACAUUCUAGAUUGCAUGGCAUAACUCCAAUAUUUUGUCAUUGCACACUUGGGCAUAUAAUUCUGCUGUGAGCAUAACUCUAGAAUUUAUUUAUCUGUGAAAGCAUGUUCAUCACAUGUUUUUUAUCAAUGCUGGUAACUUGUGUCAUGCCCCUUUCCUUUUGGACAACAAUUUCAACGAACCUAUAACGUGGACAUGUGCUGCUUGUUUUCUUGUGAUGAUGGUGAUCCAAUUGAGUAGCCCAACUCUUAUGCUCUGACAUUUGUUAAUCCCCAGUUAGUGUGCAUGAAAAAUUAUUGUUUGUCAUGUUAAAUUCUAUGGCAUCAACUCGGUAUUGUGAUUAAUGACGAUACUUGACUUCUUUUUCUUAAAUUUUUAGUGAUAUGUGUGUUUUGUUAUGUCUUAUGUGGAUAUCAUAUUCUUUCUUUGUAUUACUAUAGCCAGUCAAUGGAAAUGCUUUUCUUGCUUUGCCUAGACUUUGUGACAAUUAACUUAUAGUGCGAUCAUUGAUCAUUGAGCUUCUGACACCCUAUUCCGUAAAAUUCCGUUGUAAUGUUUGCUGGAUCAUCGAGUAGUUAAUAUUGAUUCUGAGUUUGUUGGAUCAUUAACUUCUGUGUGUGCUUUGGUUAUCUGAGAGACACUCACUAUCCUGUGUUUCAUAUUGGCGGAGCGAUGAACGAUUAUGUUUCGUGUUUGCCGGUCUGGUUUUGGAUUUGGAUUACGGAGACGGGGAGAGGUCAAAACAAGGUCAGUUUAUCGUGUUCGCUCAGAUCGGUUCCUCGGUUCUGUCGCUGCGUUGUUCGAUUUCCAGACCUCAAACGCAUGCGCCCUUGUGAUACUCUGGUUUGGCUCGCUGGUCGUUAUGGUUGUUCGUUACGGUUGUUCUUAUGUUCUUGAAUCACCCAUCUUAUAAGCAGAGAUGGGGUGACACAUAAUGGUUGUUUUGAUGGUUGCUUAUUUAGUGCUCUUUCCAAUUGGGUUCUUCUUGUCAUGCUUUGCUUAUGUUCCCAAUGUCUGUCUUUCCAUAUAUGGGGAUGCGUUAGGGUGCAAACCGUGUAGGCCAUGGUGUGUUUUUAACUAGCUAUGGUGUGUUCUAUACUAUCUGAUGUGGAAGGUGGAAAUAUUGAUAUCACUUCUGUGUUAGUAUACUUGAUAUGGUGUGUUUUAUUCAAGUAAUUAACCACAUCUCUUACAAAUUUUCCUUGAGAUACAUGUUUAUAUGGCAGGAGUGAUUGUCUUGACGAAUAAUCAUUUAUGCUAACAGACCAGUACUUGAUCAUAGGUAACAGACCAGUACUUGUUUAGUGCAGACAAUUGACUAUUCUUUUUUUCUGAACUUUUUUGUGAUAUGUCUAAUGCCUUUCUAAGUAUUUAAGGUACAGACAUGUGGAUCUGGACAUUUCACAUUUGCUCUUUAUUGUGUUGCUAAGGACACUGAACGGUUUGUCUAGGCCACCGCAUAGCCUGGCUAAUCAGGUUGUAGUGAUUAGGGAGAAGCUUGCAGAACCGUAUGAAUUUGAACAACAAUGGUCGAGAGCAGUACAAAUGCUUAGUGGCAUUGACUUGGACUCAGGAAUAAGGAUGCUUGAUGACAAACAAAUUAUCCAAGUGCGUCCAGAUUGCAUGACUAUUUGGAGGAUGAUGAUGCAGUGAAUGUUGAAGCUUUUAUCAACAAAGCCUCAUUUUUUGUCACAAACAGCAACCAGGAAGUUCUGAACUUGUAAUACAAGGUAUGCUAUGCGAGAAUUUUAGAUCUAAAGAAUAAAUUCUUGGAAGCUGCACUUCGAUACUAUGGUAUCUCUCAAAUUGAGCAACGCCAAAUUGGGGAUGAGUAAGGCUUACUCUAUUCAGUUGUAGAUUUGUUUCUCUCUUCUGCAAUUUACUCAUUUUUAAUGUUCUGUCUUGUAUGGUUCUUUGUUGCCUUGCCGGUCUAGUGAUGCCUAAUUUCUAUUUUACACCCUUCAAAUUACCCUACUUGAUACUCAUGUUUAAGUAUUGCAGUGGUUAUUAGCAAGUUGUGUUUGGAACUGAUAUGGCCUCCAUAUUUUAUUCUCAAAGAUCUUGAUGGAACAUAGUUUCUGUAUUUUCUCUGAUAGAUUGAUGAAAAUGCUCUUUAACAAGCUCUUAGUGCUGCUGUAACAUGCACAAUAUUGUAACUGAUGAGAGGCAACCACCGUUGCCAACUUGAAAUCAGUUUACUCAUUCAAGUUCUGGAAUUUCUUUAUAGAUUUCUGGGUUUACUUCGAUCUUGCAUGUAUUAGGUUUCCCUUUGUGCCCCUGUCUAUGUCGGUUUCUUGUGUGCAAGUGCUUCAUUAUGUGUGUGUGUGUGUCUGUGUGUGACUUGUUGGUGAAUAUGUGUGUGGCUUGACUCUGUGUGUGUGGCUUGAUGGUGUGUGUGUGGCUUGAUUGUGUGUGUGGCUUGACUCUCUCUGUGUGUGGCUUGACUAUGUGUGUGACUUGACUCUGUGUGUGUGGCUUGACUCUCUCUAUGUGUGGCUUGACUGUGUGUGUGACUGUGUGGUUUGAUUGUGAAUAUGUGUGUGGCUUGACUCUGUGUGUGAGUGUGUGUGGCUUGAUGGUGAAUAUGUGUCUGGCUUGACUGUGUGUGUGUGUGUGUGACUGUGAAAAUUGCAUUUGUUUGAUUGUGUGGCUUGUAUGCUUUGCUGAAUGUUUGGUUGUAUAACUUGUGUUCUAUAUUUCACGAUUGAUUGCUUUGUUGAUUGUUGAAUGUGAACAGACCUAGCACUAUUCUUUUUUCUGAACUUUUUUGUGAUUAUGUCUUAUGUGGAUAUCAUAUUCUUUUUUAUGUAUUACUAUUGUCCAGUCACUGGAAUAAUGCUUUUCUAAGUAUUUAAGGUACAUACAUUGGAUCUGGACAUUUCACAUUGGCUCUUUAUUGUGUUGCUAAGGACACUGAUGGGUUGAGUUUGCAUAAAACGCAGUAUGGAGCAAGAAUUUGGUCUCAUUGCAAGGUCACUACCUGGACAUAUAGCCAAGCAAUGUCAAGAGAGGUGGAAUAAUCAUAUGAAUCCAAACAUACAGAGAGAUGCUUGGACUAUGAGGAGGAACAUGCACUGUAUAAUGCCCAGGGAAUAAAUGGGCAAAAAUAGCAAAAUUUCUUCCUAGAAGGAAUGGGGUACUUCUAUUUGUGUAACUUCUAUUUGUUAUCAGUUCUUCUCACCUAUAGCUAAAGUCAAAGAUGACAAACCAGGUGAAUUUUUGGAGGUGCAAGAUACACAGAAUCGGCUAUCCAUCGGCUUGUAACUCAUGAUAGGCAACCACAGUUGCCAACUUGAAACAUAUAUAUUUUAGGAGCGAAGAUCUGAAUCACCCUCACCCCUCAGAGAAAUCGUUUAGUCAUUCAGGUUCUGGAAUUUAUUUAUAGCUUUCUGAGUUUACUUCGGGCUUGCAUGUAUUUGCUUUCUGUUUGUGCCCCUAUCUAUGUCUGUUUCUUGUUGUUUCUUAUGUGCAAGUGCUCCAUUAUGUGUCUGUCUGACUGUUUGUGGCUUGACUCUCUUGUGUGUGUGGCUUGACUGUCUGUGUGUGGGACUGUGUGUUUGACUGUGUGUGAAUAUUGCAUUUGACUGUGAUGUGUGACUGUGUGUGUGACUCUGUGUUUGACUGUGUGUGUGACUGUGUGAAUAUUGUGCAUUUGACUGUGAUGUGUGUGACUGAAUAUUGCAUUUUGGCAAUGACUGAGUGUGAUUGUGUGUGGCUUGACUCUCUCUCUGUGUGUGUGUGGCUUGUAUGCUUUGCUGAAUGAUUGGUUGG
Molecule: long non-coding RNA, 5149 nt
Organism: Triticum urartu
Lineage: Eukaryota; Viridiplantae; Streptophyta; Magnoliopsida; Poales; Poaceae
Source: RefSeq, a predicted model, not a curated record